GACGAACGCUGGCGGCGUGCUUAACACAUGCAAGUCGAACGGAAAGGCCCUGCUUUUGUGGGGUGCUCGAGUGGCGAACGGGUGAGUAACACGUGAGUAACCUGCCCUUGACUUUGGGAUAACUUCAGGUAACUGGGGCUAAUACCGGAUAGGAGUUCCUGCUGCAUGGUGGGGGUUGGAAAGUUUCGGCGGUCGGGGAUGGACUCGCGGCUUAUCAGCUUGUUGGUGGGGUAGUGGCUUACCAAGGCUUUGCCGGGUAGCCGGCCUGAGAGGGUGACCGGCCACAUUGGGACUGAGAUACGGCCCAGACUCCUACGGGGGGCAGCAGUGGGGAAUAUUGCGCAGUGGGCGGAAGCGUGAGGCAGCAACGCCGCGUGCGGGAUGACGGCCUUCGGGGUGUAAACCGAUUUCGCCUGUGACGAAGCGUGAGUGACGGUAAUGGGUAAAGAAGCACCGGCUAACUACGUG
RNAcentral lists this ribosomal RNA (468 nucleotides) under uncultured bacterium. RNAcentral describes it as "partial 16S ribosomal RNA". It matches the Rfam family "Bacterial small subunit ribosomal RNA", at positions 28 to 507 of the family's 1533-position model. The record is from RNAcentral.